GCGUGUAGCUCAGAUGGUAGAGCACUUGACUUUUAAUCAAGUUGUCCGGGGUUCGAUUCCCCGCA
This is a transfer RNA of 65 nucleotides. It matches the Rfam family "tRNA", at positions 6 to 65 of the family's 71-position model. From Rfam's summary of the family: Transfer RNA (tRNA) molecules are approximately 80 nucleotides in length.